This 426-nucleotide ribosomal RNA is filed under the name uncultured bacterium. Its description in RNAcentral is "bacterial SSU rRNA". It matches the Rfam family "Bacterial small subunit ribosomal RNA", at positions 355 to 773 of the family's 1533-position model. The record is from RNAcentral.
UGGGGAAUUUUGGACAAUGGGGGAAACCCUGAUCCAGCCAUGCCGCGUGAGUGAAGAAGGCCUUCGGGUUGUAAAGCUCUUUCAGCCGGAACGAAACGGUCACGGUUAAUACCCGUGACUACUGACGGUACCGGAAGAAGAAGCACCGGCUAACUACGUGCCAGCAGCCGCGGUAAUACGUAGGGUGCGAGCGUUAAUCGGAAUUACUGGGCGUAAAGCGUGCGCAGGCGGUUUUGUAAGUCAGAUGUGAAAUCCCCGGGCUUAACCUGGGAACUGCGUUUGAAACUACAGAGCUAGAGUAUGGGAGAGGGAGGUAGAAUUCCACGUGUAGCAGUGAAAUGCGUAGAGAUGUGGAGGAAUACCAAUGGCGAAGGCAGCCUCCUGGCCUAAUACUGACGCUCAUGCACGAAAGCGUGGGGAGCAAAC